Molecule: non-coding RNA, 4143 nt
Organism: Osmia lignaria (orchard mason bee)
Lineage: Eukaryota; Metazoa; Arthropoda; Insecta; Hymenoptera; Megachilidae
Source: RefSeq, a predicted model, not a curated record
UCUUACCUAGCCCGCUGUACAUUCAUUGUUAACUAUCUUUCAACUACGAACAUAUAAAAUUGAAAGAUCCUACAUUUAUAUGCUGAACGUGUACUUUAAACGCGGUUGUUUUCACUCCGACAUCAUUGCCAAGACAAACAAAGUGUGUUUAACAUUCACUUGUAAAUCUCUUUCACUAUCUUUUCGAUCUCUAACCUUCGAGACAGUGAAAUCUCUACCUGAAUGAUACAACUUCACCGUAAACACUUUUGGCAAUUGUCUGGACGGAUCAUCGACCGGUGAACAAACAACGUAGAUUAAAAUCCUUCCCAAAUAGCACACCGUGAAAGUUACGAGUAUAUUUACGCGAACAAUGUGAACAUAUUUCUCGAGUUUCGAAACAACUGUUUAGAAACUUCUCUUGAAAAAUAAUAUGAUGUAUAUUAGAUUUUGAUUAAUUCAUAUUUGGAUAAUUUCUUCGUUUUCCUAGCGAUCCAUCAAACAUAUUAAUGUUUAAUGUCUCCCAGAGCCUCGCGUGGGACGUCGCUGCAAGGUAAACCACCUUUCCUCUUACCAACGGGGAUGAGCGUUUUAUAACUUACUUUUAACUGGAAUCCAGGAUGCAAGCGGAUCCGUGGACGGAUAAUCUAGCAACGAAGCGGAUUUCCAACCGCCUCGUCCCUGGAUUACAUGACGUUUGAUGGCGAAAGUUAGUCACGGAUGGCCCCAGGGUGCUGUGCACCUCGCAGAGCUCUUGUCUCCCGACCUCAUCCGCGGGAUGAACCGACAGCGUGAAUCUAGAAUAUUAAACGAACAACGAUGGUGUGGUCGAUCUGCGGUCGCUGCUAUCCCGACGACAUGGAGAAUCUGGGACGUGUUCUGAUUAUCUGUCCGCUGAUAUUUCAAAUUUUCGAUAAUUCAUCUAAAGGUUAAAAAUAAUAUUUAUUUCCCGAAGAAAUAUUAUUCUUAAAAGGGAGAUUUUCAGUGAAAGUGUCCUUGAUUCUUCAUAAUGUUUGUAUCAUAUAAUUAAUUGUAAUUAUCUGAGGGUGUGAUAAGCUUCUGACUCGACGUGGCUUCUCGUUAUCAACAAGGUUAUAUUUCGUGGCCCCGGUGAAAGCGAUGAUAAAUUUCAGUGAACACGAUAACCAGAUCGUUCUUCGACUUUUUUUGGAUCUUACUUCGUUAUCUAAAAUCAACUAACACGUUGAGUGCUAUCAUCUAAUGAUUAAAAAAUGAACAUUAAUUGCCUAGAAUUGUCAUUCUCGUUAUGCUGAUCAACGUGUUAAGGAUCGAACGAAUUUACGUUGUUUCCGUUCGAGACUUUCACGGUAAGAAAAGUUACGCAAUUGAUCAUCCAAUCUUCGAUUUAUGUAGGAAUUAGAAAAUUAUGCGUUUCACGAUGGGUGGUAUCUAAGAUUCAUCGACGGAUAACGAGAAGAAGUGUCGUAACUCGUGUGGGUGUCCAGUUACACCUUUAUAAGCAACAGGUAAAUAUAAGGAAAGGACGAUGGUUAUUCGAAGAAGAGUUGAAAGUUGAAAGCGACACCCAAGUCAUCUUGAGUGCAACGUUCGUUCGAGUGAUUUUGAAAGAACAUCUUGGGUACUAAUGGCCCUCAACGUUACCGGACAAGGAACUUGAUUCACUUUCUUGCGAAAUAUAAUUCAACAAGCCAACAGCUCAUUAGUUAAAAAAAAAUUUCCUGUAUUUCAUCAGAGUCUGACAAAAAAUUUCAUGCUCUGAAUCAAGGUUUCAAUCACCAUACAUAAGGUAAACGAGUUGAAACCCAUAGAAUGAAAAGAAAAAAACAAUAUCCUUCGAAGUGGCUCGAAGGGAAAGUCGACGACCCGAAGAACCCAUCGUCCAUAAAAUCAGAACGAGCGAUCCAGACCGAGUCGAUCGUCGAUGAAAAACCUUCUGACCCAUUUUCGACCCUGUUUCUGUCGAUUCUGACCGCUCUCGAAUUCGUGUUGCAUUGUCCUCGAGUUAUGCACCACGCCUCUUUCAAACACCCACGUACAUUCUUCUGUCUCUUGUCGCUAUGAAACCUAUCUAUCAACGAACGCGAGUCGUUCUUGAAUUUUGACGAUGUUUCCGGCGGAGACGAGGUCGUCCUUAGUCGAGGACAGCCUUGAUAUGGACAGACGUAAGGUGCUGUCCUCGAAAUACCUUCACUGUCAGGAUCAUGGAGAGACCAGAAGAAGGACAAUGCAAUUCUGGCAGAAUUUUCUUUACGUAGUAGGAUUUUUUGUUAGUCUCUUUUAACGACGAAGGUUGAAAGAAUGGAGAUUGUCGCAGGAAGUGGUGUAAUUAUGUUUCAUUGGAAAUUUCAAAUAUGCGACAGGAUAAAUGAAAUGCUUGUGAAUGCGAUAAUGUACUGGGUGGAAAUGAAGAAUUAGCAUAGAUUACUGGAUUCUUGGGCUUUUGAAUCCUUGGACUCUUGGAGUCGUGGAUCCUUGAAUUCUUGGGCUCCUGGAACCUUGGAUCCUUGGGCUCCAGGAUUUUUGGAUAUUUGGAUAUUUCGAUUCUUAAACUUUUGAAGUCUUGAAAACUUGGAGCCUUACACUCUUGGAACCAUGAAUCCUAGGAUUUUCGGAUCCUAGAAUCCUCGAAUUCUUCGAUUCCUGGAUUUUAAGGAAAAUGAUUUCGACACAGCAGUAACGAUUCAUAUUAAAAUAAUGCUACCAAAUUGAGUUAUUCAAGUUUCUCUUCGUCGCGUCAAGGUGCUCUAAUUUCUAGAAUCAACCAGCGGAAUAAUGUAACUAAAGUGUGUCAGUGAUGAAACUCUUCAUGCAUUUACAGCUCUAACAUUUCCGAGGCGUUACAAACACAAUUUUCCACAAUUUCAAUUCAAAGAAAGAACCUUUACUUUGAUCUAUCUUUAGCAAUGAAUUUUCCCAACUUCAUUGACAUACUCAGAGAAUUACGAGGAAGUAAUUCUGAGAAUUUUCUUUUUCCCAACCACCCUACUUACUCACAUUUAUCAUUGUGCAGACCGCGUGAUCGUUAGGCAGUUUUUCAACGUGGAUCUGCGCAAUCGUUUUCCGUUUACUGACUCGUAUCGAUCGACUACUGUUUCGUGUGAUUUAUUCCUCGUUAAAACUAGGCGGGCUGAGAAUUUUUACUCGGCCAUCCGUAACGAUCCCGUAAUACCGGUAGCGCUACCACGCGGUUUAUUACUAUGCGUUACGUCUUUCCAGUUACAUUGAAAGCGUCUAAGAAACGCCACAAAUUUCCGGUCUGCUUGUAUUUCACUCGAGCCAGACGCGGUUCUCUCCGCCGAACUGUACCGAUUUAUGAUUGCGAAAUUUCGUUGACGAGUUUAAUGGAAUAGAUAGAAAAUCAUACAAAUCUAUAAGUUUAGAUACUUAGAAUAUGACAGAGUCGCCAUGGAAAUAUAAAUAAGCUUUUAAAAUUGAAAUUUAUAGAAAAUAUCGAGUAUUCGUGAUAAAAUAGCAAGGUAGUACGAUUGUUCGAUCUCGUCUGUUGUAAAAGACAUUCAUAGGUCAAAUCCGGCUGGACUUUUUCUUUUAAACCAUCAGCCUCCUUUCUCUUUGACGCUUCAGUAGCAAAAGAUUUAUUUGAUUUACUGUAGCAUCCUCGUCGGAGCAACGAUCACGGACCUUCGAUAGCUCAGUUGGUAGAGCGGUGGACUGUAGUUGUUUGUGCUCUUUCAGAAAAGAUAUCCAUAGGUCGCUGGUUCGAAUCCGGCUCGAAGGAAUAUUUUUAUCAAAAUUCAUCGAUAAUACUCUGCUUCUUCUUUAAUCACACGCUUGAAUGAAAAUUCUAUUACAAUUGGGGCUGAAGGGGUGCUGUACAUACCCCUUCGAUAGCUCAGUUGGUAGAGCGGUGGACUGUAGUUGUAAAUGAAAGGGAGAAUGGACAUCCAUAGGUCGCUGGUUCAAAUCCGGCUCGAAGGAAUAUUUUUAUCAAUAAUACCGUGAAUUGUCUUGAAAUUACACUUGCAAAUUAGGUACUUUAUUGGGUGGUAUCAUUUUUGUCAUUGAACAUAGAUGUUGAAUGAUUUUUGGGGGAAUAUAACAUAUUUUAUAUUUUUUUCAAUGCCAAGAGUUUUAUGCGAUCUUCCAUAGCAUUAGUUUAUUAUUAAUAGUGCAUUUUAAUGGAUAAAUUAAUAAAAUUGUUUGAAAUAUAGUAUAUGGAACAUA